This 495-nucleotide ribosomal RNA is filed under the name uncultured bacterium. RNAcentral's name for it is "partial 16S ribosomal RNA". It matches the Rfam family "Bacterial small subunit ribosomal RNA", at positions 28 to 507 of the family's 1533-position model. The record is from RNAcentral.
GACGAACGCUGGCGGCGUGCCUAAUACAUGCAAGUAGAACGCUGAAGGAGGAGCUUGCUUCUCUGGAUGAGUUGCGAACGGGUGAGUAACGCGUAGGUAACCUGCCUGGUAGCGGGGGAUAACUAUUGGAAACGAUAGCUAAUACCGCAUAGUAGUAGAUGUUGCAUGACAUUUGCUUAAAAGGUGCAAUUGCAUCACUACCAGAUGGACCUGCGUUGUAUUAGCUAGUUGGUGGGGUAACGGCUCACCAAGGCGACGAUACAUAGCCGACCUGAGAGGGGGAUCGGCCACACUGGGACUGAGACACGGCCCAGACUCCUACGGGAGGCAGCAGUAGGGAAUCUUCGGCAAUGGACGGAAGUCUGACCGAGCAACGCCGCGUGAGUGAAGAAGGUUGUCGGAUCGUAAAGCUCUGUUGUAAGAGAAGAACGAGUGUGAGAGUGGAAAGUUCACACUGUGACGGUAUCUUACCAGAAAGGGACGGCUAACUACGUG